This 24-nucleotide non-coding RNA is filed under the name Cricetulus griseus (Chinese hamster). Lineage: Eukaryota; Metazoa; Chordata; Mammalia; Rodentia; Cricetidae. The record is from RNAcentral.
CUGAUAGAACUGGCACAGCUAUUA